This 254-nucleotide unclassified non-coding RNA is filed under the name uncultured Patescibacteria group bacterium. RNAcentral describes it as "contains 16S-23S intergenic spacer region". It matches the Rfam family "Bacterial small subunit ribosomal RNA", at positions 524 to 776 of the family's 1533-position model. The record is from RNAcentral.
UACGUAGGACCCAAGCGCUAUCCGGAUUUACUGGGCGUAAAGAGUUGCGUAGGUGGCAAAGUAAGCGAAGUAUGAAAUCUUGUGGCUCAACCACAAGCCUAUACUUUGAACUACUUAGCUAGAGCAUGAGAGAGGUAACUGGAAUUUCUAGUGUAGGAGUGAAAUCCGUAGAUAUUAGAAGGAACACCGAUGGCGUAGGCAGGUUACUGGCUCAUUGCUGACACUAAGGCACGAAAGCGUGGGGAGCGAACGGG